GACAGAGGUGCCAAGCGUUAGGCGGAAUCACUGGGCUUAAAGCGUGUGUAGGCGGAUCGUUAAGUACCUUGUGAAAUCCCACGGCUCAACCGUGGAAGUGGCGUGGAUACGACCGGCCUCGAGGGGGGUAGGGGGACCUGGAACUUCCGGUGGAGCGGUGAAAUGCGUUGAGAUCGGAAGGAACGCCCGUGGCGAAAGCGAGGUCCUGGACCCUUUCUGACGCUGAGACGCGAAAGCCAGGGGAGCGAACGGG
Molecule: ribosomal RNA, 253 nt
Filed under: uncultured bacterium
Lineage: Bacteria
Description: partial 16S ribosomal RNA
Rfam family: Bacterial small subunit ribosomal RNA
Source: RNAcentral